GAGCAACGCCCAGGACUCCCCGGGAAGGGAGGGUGCCACACUGCCUUCGCGUCGGGCGUUCCCUCUGUAUUAGGUUGGUGCAAAAGUAAUUGCGGUUUUGGCCACCGAAAUGGAGACUUUCAGUUUCUUCAAACUCUGUUCAAUAAAUAACAAUUGGGCCAGGCGCGGUGGCUCACGCCUGCAAUCCCAGCACUUUGGGAGGCCAAGGCCGGCGGAUCACGAGGUCAGGAGAUCGCAGACCAUCCUGGCUAACACGGCGAAACCCCGUCUCUACUAAAAAUACAGAAAAUUAGCCGGGCAUGGUGGCGGGCACCUGUACUCCCAGCUACUCGGGAGGCUGAAGCAGGAGAAUGGCAUGAACCCGGGAGGCAGAGCUUGCAGUGAGCCGAGAUCGUGCCACUGCACUCCAGCCUGGGCAAUAGAGUGAGACUCCGUCUUAAAAAAAAAAAAAGAAAAAAAAAGAUAUGUCAUUGCAGUUGCGUGUAUGUGUGUGUGUGUGUGUACAUAUAAUUUUUUUUUUUUUUUAGCCCUGUCGCCCAGGUUAGAGUGCAGUGGUGCCAUCUUAGCUCACUGCAGCCUCAAAUUCCUGUGCUCAAGCAGUCCUCCCACCUCAGCCUCUGGGGUAGGUGCGAUGAUAGGCAUGCACUACCAUGCCCAGCUAAUUUUUUAAAAUUUCUUGCAGAGACAAGGUCUUGCUAUGUUGCCCAGGCUGGUCUUAGACUCCUGUGCUCAAGUGAUCUUCCCUCCUCGGCCUCCCAAAGUGCUGACAUUUCAGUCAUGAGCCAACCACACCCAGCGUCGGUUGUAUGUAUUUCUGUGUAUCUGUACAGAAAAGGAGUAGAACACAUAACUAAUUAACAUUGGUUAUUUUUGGGAAGGAAAGUGGAAUUGGGUGGUGGUCAAAAGGCAAAGAAACAACUUAUAUUAUUGUUUGAAUAUUUAGGAGAAUAUUAUCUUAGAAAUAAAAAAAGUAAGUUGAGAUCCAGAUACAAUGCAUGAUCUCUAAGAUUCUUUCUAGGGAAGCCUUAGAUCUCAAUUAUAUUUUCUCACCUGGAUGGACACAUAGGGCCAUAAAAAAUUAUCAAGUACCACACAGACACACACACAGACACACACACACACGCACACAUACACACAGCACAAAUGGGAAAAAACAUAGUGAAGUUACUGCUGUCAUCUAAAUCAUCUGAGUGUUUUGCUUCAUUAAUAUUAAUAUUGUUCAUGACAGUCUCCUUCUCUCUCAGUUUGGCCAAGAAGGAAGUCCUGUGGUCACUCAGUGUGUCCGUUUUAGCACUAACUAGCAUUCUGGUUUCUAGUUCAUUUCUUAGCUCACUAAACUGGCAUUAAAAUAGUCAAGAUAGGAACCCUUGGACUAUCCAAGCAUAUUCAAGGAUAGCUAGUUUCUCCCAGAUCAAGAUAUACACUCAGAGCUGGGUUUUCUGUACAAAUUUGAAAGAGUAGACACAGGUAGAUGUAAGCAAAAAAAAAGUUUUAUGGCUACCAACCAUUAACAUAAUGAUGUACAUGAUACAAAAGCAUGUCCAUUAAAAAGUAAAAACAGGAUGUUCUGAUUGGUGAAACACAGGUGAUUUCCGGGUUUGGCACUGCAGUCCCAAAAGGGUGGGUCAUAUGUCCGCUGUAUCCCAUUCCCAAACUCUUUACUACUCUGAGUAAUCUUUUUUUCUUUGGUUGUAUAUCCUGAUGGUAGAAAGCUCCAUAGCAACAGUUUGACAGGUAUAUUAGUGAUAAGUAAACUAAUAAAGUUUUUAGAUUUAUGGCACAAAAAUAACCAAAAGUUACCUAAUUUAUCCAAAUAUCUGUAUUAUUUUUCUGGAAUCUGGGUAACACCCCUAUUUAAGCUAUUUAUAUUCAGUAAACCAGGCCGGGUGUGGUGGCUCACGCCUGUAAUCCCAGCACUUUGGGAGGCCAAAGCAGGUGAAUCACCUGAGGUCAGGAGUUCAAGACUAGCCUGGCCAGCUUGGUGAAACCCCAUCUGUACUAAAAAUACAAAAAUUAGUUGGGCAUGGUGGCCUGUGCCUAUAAUUCCAGCUACAUGAGAGGCUGAGGCAGGAUAAUCACUUGAACCCAGGCGGCAAAGGUUGCAGUGAGCCGAGAUCGUGCCACUGCACUCCAGCCUGGGCAACAAAGUGAGACUCUGUCUCAAAAACACAAACAAACAAAAACUGAUAAAGUAAAUGUUUUUUUGUUUUUGAUGUGUUUUAGGUAUUUGGGGUAUUUGGAAAAUGAUAAGUUAAACUUCAAUCUGUUUUGUCCACUUCUUCCCUUUCCCUGGAUUCCUACUGAAUUCCAUUGUUGUGUAUAGAUUGAAUUUUUGUGAUGGAAGAGCUUGAGCUGCUCUGUUGGAAGGAAAACAAAAAUAAAACCCUGUUAAUGCUGGUUAUUUUUCUCCCUGAGCAGUCAGGAGUUGCAAACUAGCUCUCUGUGUUACCUAGUUCUCACUGGUGACAUUUCUUGUCCUGUAAUACAGGGAGAGGAAACUCAGGAAACUACCCCAACUCUUUUUUGACAAUGCAGAUCAAACCAGAGAGAAGCACUGGUAACUUGGGAAACCAUGCGUGUCAUAACAAGAGGAGUAGGUGGCGUCUUUCAUACUGUCAUGUCUUCCUGUUUGUAUACUUGAGCAUGUCAAGGUGUCAUUUUAGGAAAGGAACUUUAUCUUUGGAUGCCAAUGGCAGAAACAACAACAAACCAGCCAGGCGCGGUGGCUCAUGCCUGUAAUCCCAGCACUUCAUGAGGCCAAGGCAGGCAGAUCACUCGAGGUCAGGAGUUCGAGACCAGCCUGGGCAACAGGGUGAAACCCUCUCUCUACUGAAAAUACAAAAAUGAGCCAGGCAUUGUGGCAGGUGCCUGAAUCCCGGCUACUCGGGAGGCUGAGGCAGGAGAAUGGCUUGAACCCAGGAGGCACAGGUUACAGUGAGCUGAGAUUGCACCACUGCACUCCAGCCCCAGUGACAGAGUGAGACUCUGUUUAAAAAAAAAGAACAGCAAAUCCCAAGAA
RNAcentral lists this long non-coding RNA (3019 nucleotides) under Homo sapiens (human). RNAcentral's name for it is "non-protein coding lnc-ZNF821-5:1". The record is from RNAcentral. Lineage: Eukaryota; Metazoa; Chordata; Mammalia; Primates; Hominidae.